UACGUAGGGGGCAAGCGUUGUCCGGAUUUAUUGGGCGUAAAGAGCGUGUAGGCGGCUUGGUAGGUCCGCUGUGAAAACUCGAGGCUCAACCUCGAGAUGUCGGCGGAAACCACUUGGCUAGAGUCCGGAAGAGGAGAGUGGAAUUCCUGGUGUAGCGGUGAAAUGCGCAGAUAUCAGGAGGAACACCUAUUGCGAAGGCAGCUCGCUGGGACGUUACUGACGCUGAGACGCGAAAGCGUGGGGAGCAAACAGG
RNAcentral lists this ribosomal RNA (253 nucleotides) under uncultured bacterium. RNAcentral's name for it is "partial 16S ribosomal RNA". It matches the Rfam family "Bacterial small subunit ribosomal RNA", at positions 524 to 776 of the family's 1533-position model. The record is from RNAcentral.